This 1521-nucleotide ribosomal RNA is filed under the name Shigella boydii. Its description in RNAcentral is "bacterial SSU rRNA". It matches the Rfam family "Bacterial small subunit ribosomal RNA". Lineage: Bacteria; Pseudomonadati; Pseudomonadota; Gammaproteobacteria; Enterobacterales; Enterobacteriaceae. The record is from RNAcentral.
AGAGUUUGAUCAUGGCUCAGAUUGAACGCUGGCGGCAGGCCUAACACAUGCAAGUCGAACGGUAACAGGAAUCAGCUUGCUGAUUCGCUGACGAGUGGCGGACGGGUGAGUAAUGUCUGGGAAACUGCCUGAUGGAGGGGGAUAACUACUGGAAACGGUAGCUAAUACCGCAUAAUGUCGCAAGACCAAAGAGGGGGACCUUCGGGCCUCUUGCCAUCGGAUGUGCCCAGAUGGGAUUAGCUUGUUGGUGGGGUAACGGCUCACCAAGGCGACGAUCCCUAGCUGGUCUGAGAGGAUGACCAGCCACACUGGAACUGAGACACGGUCCAGACUCCUACGGGAGGCAGCAGUGGGGAAUAUUGCACAAUGGGCGCAAGCCUGAUGCAGCCAUGCCGCGUGUAUGAAGAAGGCCUUCGGGUUGUAAAGUACUUUCAGCGGGGAGGAAGGGAGUAAAGUUAAUACCUUUGCUCAUUGACGUUAUCCGCAGAAGAAGCACCGGCUAACUCCGUGCCAGCAGCCGCGGUAAUACGGAGGGUGCAAGCGUUAAUCGGAAUUACUGGGCGUAAAGCGCACGCAGGCGGUUUGUUAAGUCAGAUGUGAAAUCCCCGGGCUCAACCUGGGAACUGCAUCUGAUACUGGCAAGCUUGAGUCUCGUAGAGGGGGUAGAAUUCCAGGUGUAGCGGUGAAAUGCGUAGAGAUCUGGAGGAAUACCGGUGGCGAAGGCGGCCCCCUGGACGAAGACUGACGCUCAGGUGCGAAAGCGUGGGGAGCAAACAGGAUUAGAUACCCUGGUAGUCCACGCCGUAAACGAUGUCGACUUGGAGGUUGUGCCCUUGAGGCGUGGCUUCCGGAGCUAACGCGUUAAGUCGACCGCCUGGGGAGUACGGCCGCAAGGUUAAAACUCAAAUGAAUUGACGGGGGCCCGCACAAGCGGUGGAGCAUGUGGUUUAAUUCGAUGCAACGCGAAGAACCUUACCUGGUCUUGACAUCCACGGAAGUUUUCAGAGAUGAGAAUGUGCCUUCGGGAACCGUGAGACAGGUGCUGCAUGGCUGUCGUCAGCUCGUGUUGUGAAAUGUUGGGUUAAGUCCCGCAACGAGCGCAACCCUUAUCCUUUGUUGCCAGCGGUCCGGCCGGGAACUCAAAGGAGACUGCCAGUGAUAAACUGGAGGAAGGUGGGGAUGACGUCAAGUCAUCAUGGCCCUUACGACCAGGGCUACACACGUGCUACAAUGGCGCAUACAAAGAGAAGCGACCUCGCGAGAGCAAGCGGACCUCAUAAAGUGCGUCGUAGUCCGGAUUGGAGUCUGCAACUCGACUCCAUGAAGUCGGAAUCGCUAGUAAUCGUGGAUCAGAAUGCCACGGUGAAUACGUUCCCGGGCCUUGUACACACCGCCCGUCACACCAUGGGAGUGGGUUGCAAAAGAAGUAGGUAGCUUAACCUUCGGGAGGGCGCUUACCACUUUGUGAUUCAUGACUGGGGUGAAGUCGUAACAAGGUAACCGUAGGGGAACCUGCGGUUG